ACGAACGCUGGCGGCGUGCUUAACACAUGCAAGUCGAACGAUGAACCACUUCGGUGGGGAUUAGUGGCGAACGGGUGAGUAACACGUGGGCAAUCUGCCCUGCACUCUGGGACAAGCCCUGGAAACGGGGUCUAAUACCGGAUAAUACUCCUGCACUCAUGUGUGGGGGUUAAAAGCUCCGGCGGUGCAGGAUGAGCCCGCGGCCUAUCAGCUUGUUGGUGAGGUAAUGGCUCACCAAGGCGACGACGGGUAGCCG
Molecule: ribosomal RNA, 256 nt
Filed under: Streptomyces sp. ISO289_OTU372
Lineage: Bacteria; Bacillati; Actinomycetota; Actinomycetes; Kitasatosporales; Streptomycetaceae
Description: partial 16S ribosomal RNA
Rfam family: Bacterial small subunit ribosomal RNA
Source: RNAcentral